CGACAUGGUAGUUUAAACUAUUAGGACGCGAAUUUUGGGGAUUUGAAGUCCCUUCUGGGCCUGUUGA
RNAcentral lists this transfer RNA (67 nucleotides) under Paragonimus westermani. RNAcentral describes it as "tRNA-Pro". The record is from RNAcentral. Lineage: Eukaryota; Metazoa; Platyhelminthes; Trematoda; Plagiorchiida; Troglotrematidae.